CGUAGGCAUGGCUAUGCUGUUAAAGUGGAAAGGGCCAACAUCAUUAGAUUGAUCUGCAAGAGUGCGUCUUGGAGGAGGUUGUUCAACCAUCUCCUCUACUCUUCGAACUGGUGAAGGUGAUAGUAAUCUUUCAGGAGAAGGGAAGAAAUCCCUAGAUGGGCGUCUGACUCUCCUUCUUCCCCUAGUCUCACUUAAGCCUUCAAGAAGAGGUUGCGUAUUUUUCUUGCUCCUAGUAUGUCUAGUCUCCUGCAUGCACAAGAAACACAAACCCUAGUAGCACUUUUAUAUAAAAAAUAAACAAAAACAAAAACAAAAAUAAAAAUAAAAUAUAUACAAUCAAGUCAAAGUUAAUCAGUUUACACUACUAGAUAGGUUAAACCACAAGUCCCCGACAACGACGCCAAAAACUUGCUAAGUCCCUAACAAGUGUACCAGAUCGUUAUCAAGUAAUAUAAAAUGGGUAAGUCCAAGUAUCGUUUCCCAAAGGACCCUUAGGCCUUAACUUUCUUGUAAACUAGUUACGUAAGAAUUUAGAAAAGAAUUAAAUUUGAGUUUUUGAAUGUAAGAACAAAAGUAAACAUGCAAAUGCAGUGAAUUAAUUGGCAAGGGAAAAACUAUGAAUGAAUGGUGUUGUUGGGGUUUACAAUUUCAUCUUAUCCACUCUCUUAUAUCUACUCUUCUUAUCUAAUUUUCUUAUUUAUCAUAUUGUCAUGCAAACUUUCUUGGUCUACCCUUAACCCAAUCUCUUGGUGAAAAGAGCCUGUUACUAAUUAUCGGCUUGCUAUCUCUAGCCUCCCAUAGUAACUAAUAAUGCAUGAUAAACGAAAGCAAAAUACAAUUGAUUGUCCUACCCCUAUCUCUAGGUAGUAUUAGCUUAAUCAAGGAAUUUCCCCC
Molecule: long non-coding RNA, 894 nt
Filed under: Vigna radiata
Lineage: Eukaryota; Viridiplantae; Streptophyta; Magnoliopsida; Fabales; Fabaceae
Description: long non-coding RNA (VRAD_LNC000543)
Source: RNAcentral